Molecule: ribosomal RNA, 406 nt
Filed under: uncultured bacterium
Lineage: Bacteria
Description: bacterial SSU rRNA
Rfam family: Bacterial small subunit ribosomal RNA
Source: RNAcentral
GUGGGGGAUAUUGCACAAUGGGGGAAACCCUGAUGCAGCAACGCCGCGUGAAGGAAGAAGGUCUUCGGAUUGUAAACUUCUGUCCUCAGGGAAGAUAAUGACGGUACCUGAGGAGGAAGCUCCGGCUAACUACGUGCCAGCAGCCGCGGUAAUACGUAGGGAGCAAGCGUUGUCCGGAUUUACUGGGUGUAAAGGGUGCGUAGGCGGAUCUGCAAGUCAGUAGUGAAAUCCCAGGGCUUAACCCUGGAACUGCUAUUGAAACUGUGGGUCUUGAGUGAGGUAGAGGCAGGCGGAAUUCCCGGUGUAGCGGUGAAAUGCGUAGAGAUCGGGAGGAACACCAGUGGCGAAGGCGGCCUGCUGGGCCUUAACUGACGCUGAGGCACGAAAGCAUGGGUAGCAAACAGGA